This 64-nucleotide transfer RNA is filed under the name Nanhaipotamon longhaiense. RNAcentral describes it as "tRNA-Ala". The record is from RNAcentral. Lineage: Eukaryota; Metazoa; Arthropoda; Malacostraca; Decapoda; Potamidae.
GAAACUAUAGUCAAUAUAUUAUGAUAUAUAAUUUGCACUUAUAAGGAGUUAAAAACUAGUUUCG